Molecule: ribosomal RNA, 492 nt
Filed under: uncultured bacterium
Lineage: Bacteria
Description: partial 16S ribosomal RNA
Rfam family: Bacterial small subunit ribosomal RNA
Source: RNAcentral
AGUGAACGCUGGCGGUAGGCCUAACACAUGCAAGUCGAACGGCAGCACAGUAAAAGCUUGCUCUUACGGGUGGCGAGUUGCGGACGGGUGAGGAAUACAUCGGAAUCUACUUUUUCGUGGGGGAUAACGUAGGUAAACUUACGCUAAUACCGCAUACGACCUCCGGGUGAAAGCAGGGGAUCUUCGGACCUUGCGCGAUUGAAUGAGCCGAUGUCGGAUUAGCUAGUUGGCGGGGUAAAGGCCCACCAAGGCGACGAUCCGUAGCUGGUCUGAGAGGAUGAUCAGCCACACUGGAACUGAGACACGGUCCAGACUCCUACGGGAGGCAGCAGUGGGGAAUAUUGGACAAUGGGCGCAAGCCUGAUCCAGCCAUACCGCGUGGGUGAAGAAGGCCUUCGGUUUGUAAAGCCCUUUUGUUGGGAAAGAAAAGCAGCAGGUUAAUACCCCGCUGUUCUGACGGUACCCAAAGAAUAAGCACCGGCUAACUUCGUG